CCUGGACACUGUUCACU
This 17-nucleotide microRNA is filed under the name Populus x canadensis (hybrid black poplar). Its description in RNAcentral is "PC-3p-193248_4". Lineage: Eukaryota; Viridiplantae; Streptophyta; Magnoliopsida; Malpighiales; Salicaceae. The record is from RNAcentral.